RNAcentral lists this ribosomal RNA (433 nucleotides) under uncultured bacterium. Its description in RNAcentral is "partial 16S ribosomal RNA". It matches the Rfam family "Bacterial small subunit ribosomal RNA", at positions 29 to 507 of the family's 1533-position model. The record is from RNAcentral.
AACGAACGCUGGCGGCAUGCCUAACACAUGCAAGUCGAACGAGACCUUCGGGUCUAGUUGCGCACGGGUGCGUAACGCGUGGGAACCUGCCCUUAGGUUCGCAAUAACUCCCCGAAAGGUGUGCUAAUACCGGAUAAUGUCUUCGGACCAAAGAUUUAUCGCCGUUGGAUGGGCCCGCGUUGGAUUAGCUAGUUGGUAGGGUAAAAGCCUACCAAGGCGACGAUCCAUAGCUGGUCUGAGAGGAUGAUCAGCCACACUGGGACUGAGACACGGCCCAGACUCCUACGGAAGGGAGGAGAGGGGAAUAUUGGACAAGGGGCGAAAGCCUGAUCCAGCAAGGCCGGGUGAGUGAUGAAGGCCGUAGGGUUCUAAAGCUCUUUUAACCGGGAUGAUAAUGACAGUACCGGGAGAAUAAGCACCGGCUAACUCCGUG